AUGGCGGGGGCCGCGCGGGGCCGGCGGUGCCGGGGCGCGGUGCUGCUGCUGCUCGUCGCGUCCGUGCUCGCGCCCCUCGUGCUCUACGGCCGCUCCCCCGUCCCGUACCUCCCGGACUCCACCGUGGCGAGGGGCGCGUUCGAUCGGGGCGACGGGUCCGGCUCCAAUCUGGUGUGGCCGCAAAUGGCCGCGUCCGAGGUUUCUCUCGCCAAAGAUUUGACAAUUGAGAGGCUAGGGGAGCACAAGAACCGGGUGCUGUCAGCGACUGACGACUGGCAAGCAGUUGAGGUAGCCAGGAGCCAUCCAUCAGAAAAGAAAAUUGAUACCUGGGAGGACCCUGUGUCGCGAGAUGCUGAUCAGGUGGUUGCUGUGGGAAAUGACAGUGCUCAGUCUACACAGGAUGGCAUGAUAAAGGAAGUUGUUAGCACCGACGGACGAGCAGAUGGAUUUCGUGAUCCCGGCGAUAGCAGGGUAGCUGAAGAGCAGGACGGACAAGGGAUGGAUGAAAAAGAGUUGCAGGAUGCAACUGAGCUAGAGCACAAAGAUGGAUCUGGCGCAUCUGAGAAUAACAUUGCUGGAACAGAUACUGCUGGAAAUCUGACAUCGUCUUUGAAUAAGGAAAGCAUUGCUGAUACAUCAUCUGAUCAAACUACACAUGCUAGUGCCAAUGCUGAUCUCGCCACAUUAGUGAGUAGCACUGAUCAUUCCGCAACUUCCCCAGAUGCUACAAUCCGCAUCAUCAAGGAUCAAUUGAUAAGAGCAAAGACAUAUCUUGGUGUUCUAGCUUCUAGAGGAAAUCAUGGUACCGCCAAGGAGUUACGUGCACGAAUGAAGGAUAUCCAACGAGCACUUGGUGGUGCAACCGAUGAUGGGAUGCUUCCUCAGAAUGUCCAUGGCAAAAUAAAAGCGAUGGAGCAGACGCUGGGUAGGAUCAAGAGAAUGCAUGAUGGUUGCUCAGGUGCUGUGAACAAGCUCCGUACAAGCCUUCACUCAACAGAGGAGCGUCUUCAAUCUCACAGAAAAGAUGCCAACUAUCUAGCUCAACUAGCAGCAAAAUCUUUACCCAAAGGACUCCAUUGUCUCCCAUUGCGGCUUACAAAUGAAUAUUAUUCCAGCAACUCCAACAAUAAGGAUUUUCCAAAUACGGAAAAGUUGGAAGACCCUCAACUCCAUCACUAUGCUGUUUUCUCAGAUAAUGUAUUGGCUGCUGCAGUGGUUGUGAACUCCACUCUUGUUCAUGCUAAGAAACCAGCAAACCAUGUCUUCCACAUUGUGACAGAUAGGCUUAACUACGCUGCAAUGAAGAUGUGGUUCUUGGCUAAUCCCUUGGGUGAAGCUGCGGUUCAGGUUCAGAACAUUGAAGAGUUUACCUGGCUGAACUCAAGCUACAGCCCAGUUCUGAAGCAGUUGGAAUCCAGUUCGAUGAUUGAUUACUACUUCGGGAGUGGGAAGGCUAGGCCGGGUGAAAAUCCCAAAUUCCGGAACCCAAAAUACCUGUCGAUUCUCAAUCAUCUGAGGUUCUAUCUCCCUGAGAUAUUCCCGAAGCUUAACAAGGUGUUAUUUCUAGACGAUGAUACCGUGGUGCAGCAGGACCUAAGUGCGCUUUGGUCGAUAGAUCUCAAAGGCAAGGUCAAUGGUGCUGUUGAGACCUGUGGAGAGAGCUUCCACAGGUUUGAUAAAUACCUCAACUUCUCCAAUCCUCUAAUUGCCAGCAAUUUUAAUCCACACGCUUGCGGUUGGGCAUAUGGCAUGAACAUGUUUGAUUUGUCGGAGUGGAGAAAGCAAAACAUCACCGACGUCUACCACACCUGGCAGAACCUGAAUGAAGACAGGCUACUAUGGAAGCUAGGCAGCCUCCCUGCAGGCCUUGUGACGUUCUGGAACCGCACUUUCCCCCUCGAUCGCUCGUGGCAUCUAUUGGGGCUCGGGUACAACCCAAACGUGAACGAGAAGGAGAUCAGGCGGGCAUCCGUCAUUCACUACAAUGGGAACCUGAAACCCUGGCUUGAGAUCGGACUGUCGAAAUACCGAAAAUACUGGUCGCGGCAUGUCAAUUACGAUCAAGUGUUCAUACGGGAGUGCAAUAUAAACCCCUGA
Molecule: ribosomal RNA, 2097 nt
Filed under: Triticum aestivum (bread wheat)
Lineage: Eukaryota; Viridiplantae; Streptophyta; Magnoliopsida; Poales; Poaceae
Description: partial small subunit ribosomal RNA
Source: RNAcentral